UAGAGUUUGAUCCUGGCUCAGAUUGAACGCUGGCGGCAGGCCUAACACAUGCAAGUCGAGCGGCAGCGGGAAAGUAGCUUGCUACUUUUGCCGGCGAGCGGCGGACGGGUGAGUAAUGCCUGGGGAUCUGCCCAGUCGAGGGGGAUAACUACUGGAAACGGUAGCUAAUACCGCAUACGCCCUACGGGGGAAAGCAGGGGACCUUCGGGCCUUGCGCGAUUGGAUGAACCCAGGUGGGAUUAGCUAGUUGGUGAGGUAGUGGCUCACCAAGGCAACGAUCCCUAGCUGGUCAGAGAGGAUGAUUCAGCCACACUGGAACUGAGACACGGUCCAGACUCCUACGGGAGGCAGCAGUGGGGAAUAUUGCACAAUGGGGGAAACCCUGAUGCAGCCAUGCCGCGUGUGUGAAGAAGGCCUUCGGGUUGUAAAGCACUUUCAGCGAGGAGGAAAGGUUGGUAGCUAAUAACUGCCAGCUGUGACGUUACUCGCAGAAGAAGCACCGGCUAACUCCGUGCCAGCAGCCGCGGUAAUACGGAGGGUGCAAGCGUUAAUCGGAAUUACUGGGCGUAAAGCGCACGCAGGCGGUUGGAUAAGUUAGAUGUGAAAGCCCCGGGCUCAACCUGGGAAUUGCAUUUAAAACUGUCCAGCUAGAGUCUUGUAGAGGGGGGUAGAAUUCCAGGUGUAGCGGUGAAAUGCGUAGAGAUCUGGAGGAAUACCGGUGGCGAAGGCGGCCCCCUGGACAAAGACUGACGCUCCGCUGCGAAAGCGUGGGGAGCAAAAAGGAUUAGAUACCCUGGUAGUCCACGCCGUAAAC
Molecule: ribosomal RNA, 814 nt
Filed under: uncultured bacterium
Lineage: Bacteria
Description: bacterial SSU rRNA
Rfam family: Bacterial small subunit ribosomal RNA
Source: RNAcentral